GCCCCAUCCUUGCUUUGCUUAUUUAUUUAUUUAUUUAAAAUAAUAUCAAACAAAUGCAUCAUCCUCAUGUGUUGAAAUGAAAACAAAGAAUGCGGACUUACUUUGUUUGCUGAUAAGAAUUAUAACUAAUAACUUCCACGGCUGAAACUUCUGCAGUCUUCAGGUGUGUGUCGUGAUGACGACGUCAGCUCAGGUGUUCACCGCUAAACUUUUGCGUCAAUGCCGCAAACCGGUAAAAAGACGCUUGUUGAAAACAGCGCAAUAAACAAACGACGGCGCAACGGAGGAAUGCUAGCGUUAGCAAAGCGCCCGGAGAGGAGGAUGCUAACAUGCUAGUGGAGGAGGAAGGUGCUAAUGUUGCUAACGUUAGCCGAGCAUCAGCGAGAGCCGGAGACAGACCGACACACACCUGCUCCACUGACCCGCCCUCACUGAAGCCUCACACCGGCCCACAGAGCACAGACACCCGCUGACAGAUUUCGGAAGCAGCAGAUCAGCAAGACUUGCUCACAGUGACCACAGGGAAUCAAAUAGGAAAAACCUCAGAAGGCUUCCAGAUUAUCUCAGAGGUCUGGAGUUGUCCGACUUGUUUAAUUAUACAGCAGCUACGUGUGUUUGGCAGCCAGAUGGACAGCGAGGAACGGACCAGAUACUCAUCACCAGACACAUCAAUCUGAGGUGUGUGAACGGAGAAGAGACGAGGACGGCCUGGGACACUCCUCUCCACCCAACAAAGGGGGAUGAUGGAUGUUGGAGAAACUCUGAUGCCAUGUCAGGGCGGGGAAGCCAUCUGACAUGUUUGGUCUACAGUUUAAACAGACUAAACGCCGACAUCCCAGAAAUAUUGUAUCUUCAAAUUCUGUGCCGUAUGUUUUUCCUGGGUUCAGUUUCUGUCGGCAGGUUUGGUCCAUGAAAGCAGACGCACCUAAACAGGUAAAAGAAAAACAAUUACUCAGGUUCAAACAGGCAGAUGCUGCUUCAUCUUCUAUUCUGCACCAACAUUUAUAAACCAUAGUGCUCACAUCCUGUUAUAUUAACCAGAGUUUCCAUAAGCAAUAUCAAAGUAUCCCACCAAUCUAUUUGAAAUACUGUUUCAUCUAUUCUAUUUGUUUCCUGUUUGUGCCUUUGGGGAAACUGAAGCAUUGAACAAGAUUGAUUUGAAAAAAAACUAUAGGAUGUAGUUUUCCUCUGGGGAAAUGUGUCAUUUAAAUAUUCAGUUACUUCUUAACCAAUGUCAGAAACCAAAAAGGAUUUGUUUCUGUACAAGAUAUACAUUUGUAAGGCAUGUAGUUGGAUCUCCACCCGGUGGUUUUUAUAUUAAUAUGGUAAAGCUGUGAGAGCAUUGAGGGCAUUUCAGCAAUCAUCCACCAACAGAAUCAGACUGAAGUAGAAUGAAUGCUGGAGAACCAACGCCUGAAGUGCACAGUGAGCUGCUCUAGUAUUCAGCAGCAAAAUCUGUUGUUUCUUCAGUUUAUGAGUCAAAUUAGAAUAGUCAGAAAAACAGCUCAUUGCCCUCUAGAUUUACAAUAAACUUUUUUAUUAAAAAUGAAUGGAGAAUACUUAAACACUUAUUUUUACCCGAAAAUAGGAGUGUAGAUACGUGAAUCGGCCACCAGGGGGCAUCUAAUAUCCUGCCUCCUUACCAUGACCUACAGUGAGACAGUAUGUUAUCAUCAUUUGUUGUCAUGUUAAAUGUUAGAUUUGCAUAACUCAGUAUUCUGCAUUAAAUGGUGAAUUAAAUUAUCAUCUAAUUAAGCUCGCAGUCAUUGUGCGUGUUGUUAUUUUAAAAUCAGUGCAGCCAUUUCGUAGCAAUAAUAUAACUGUUUGACAAAUGGUCAAAGCCUCCUUCACCGAAUUAAUCUUGUUCUAAACGAGAGCCACGUUUCAAUGUAAACUCCAAUCCAUCACCAUUGAGAAUGAGGCCGAACUAAUGUGGUGCGGCUAAUGAAACGACCAGAGCCGGAUCGGUUCAUCUCCAAGCCCCCUGAACUGCCCCGGAAUCUCCCACAACCCGUGUUUUAUUGCCACUCAUUAACGGUGCGAGACAGAGCUUUGCUGUAAUUAAAAGUUAACCACUGGGUGUGUUUGCGGCCAUCUCAAACAUUUGUCAUGUCGUUCGGGGAUUAAAUCGGACCAAAAGGUUGUGAUUCUGCAAAGUGUAAUUAGACUUUGAACAAAUGAAUUGUUCACACAAUUAUAAUAUAUUAGUAGAAACUGUAAAAACAGCUUUAAAAGAAGAGGAGUUAGAGCUUAUACCACAUAAAAUAUGU
Hippoglossus stenolepis (Pacific halibut) is the source of this 2270-nucleotide long non-coding RNA. RefSeq lists it as uncharacterized. Lineage: Eukaryota; Metazoa; Chordata; Actinopteri; Pleuronectiformes; Pleuronectidae. The transcript is spliced from 3 exons. The record is from RefSeq and is a predicted model, not a curated record.